CUUUUUAAAGGGAUGUUUGCUCGGUCCCCUCCCCAGCUCCAAGGGGGUUGAUGUGUGCGCGCGGAUUUCGUGCAGUUUCUCGGUGAUGAGAAGAAAGGCGAUUCCUCGAAUUUCCUACGCCUUCCCAGCUCCCUUGGGCCUCCCCUCCCCCGCUUCCCGGGGCGCGGGCUCCGCGGGCGGCGCGCUCCCGGGUUGUUUACCCGCCCCGCCGACCGCCCGGGUUUGUUCCUGCUCCCAGAGCCCGUCUCUAUAAUUAAACUCUUUUUUCUAA
Molecule: long non-coding RNA, 271 nt
Organism: Rattus rattus (black rat)
Lineage: Eukaryota; Metazoa; Chordata; Mammalia; Rodentia; Muridae
Exons: 2
Source: RefSeq, a predicted model, not a curated record